GAGUUUGAUCCUGGCUCAGAACGAACGCUGGCGGCGUGCUUAACACAUGCAAGUCGAACGAGAAAGAGCUCUUCGGAGCUUGAGUAAAGUGGCGCACGGGUGAGUAACGCGUAGAUAACCUGUCCAGGUGUUCGGGGAUAGCCCUCCGAAAGGGGGAUUAAUACCGGAUACGUUAGUUUGUCAUAAGGCAAAUUAAGAAAGGUGGCCUCUAUUUAUAAGCUAUCGCACUUGGAGGGGUCUGCGUACCAUUAGUUUGUUGGUGGGGUAAUGGCCUACCAAGACUUCGAUGGUUAGCGGGUCUGAGAGGAUGAUCCGUCACACUGGCACUGAAACACGGGCCAGACUCCUACGGGAGGCAGCAGUGAGGAAUAUUGCGCAAUGGGGGGAAACCCUGACGCAGCGACGCCGCGUGGGUGAGGAAGGCUUUCGGGUCGUAAAGCCCUGUCAGAAGGGAAGAAAUGUGUAGUGGUUAAUACCCAUUGCACUUGACGGUACCUUCAAAGGAAGCACCGGCUAACUCCGUGCCAGCAGCCGCGGUAAU
This 541-nucleotide ribosomal RNA is filed under the name uncultured microorganism. Its description in RNAcentral is "bacterial SSU rRNA". It matches the Rfam family "Bacterial small subunit ribosomal RNA", at positions 9 to 524 of the family's 1533-position model. The record is from RNAcentral.